RNAcentral lists this unclassified non-coding RNA (258 nucleotides) under Hevea brasiliensis (rubber tree). Lineage: Eukaryota; Viridiplantae; Streptophyta; Magnoliopsida; Malpighiales; Euphorbiaceae. The record is from RNAcentral.
GCACAUUGUUCCAACUAAAUUCAAAUCCUUUUUAUCACUUCCAAAGGAUCUAUUUGUAUGUACAACUCCACACUCUAUAGCCUUACAAUCAAUCAACAACUAAAAUUUUCAUUUAACUUUUUUUUAAAUAAAAAUAAAAAACCACAUGAACAUUCCCUAUCUUUACGCCUUGAAAUUCAAAAGGGAAAACUAACAAGCUUUCUCCGAUGAAUAAUUACAAACUUUACUGUCAGAAAUUUGACGAGUUUGGGCAAUUCC